Molecule: ribosomal RNA, 253 nt
Filed under: uncultured bacterium
Lineage: Bacteria
Description: partial 16S ribosomal RNA
Rfam family: Bacterial small subunit ribosomal RNA
Source: RNAcentral
UACAGAGGGUGCGAGCGUUAUUCGGAAUUACUGGGCGUAAAGCGCACGUAGGCGGCUUUGCAAGUCGGGUGUGAAAUCCCCGGGCUCAACCUGGGAACUGCAUCCGAGACUGCUUUGCUCGAGUAUGGGAGAGGGAAGUGGAAUUUCCGGUGUAGCGGUGAAAUGCGUAGAUAUCGGAAGGAACAUCAGUGGCGAAGGCGACUUCCUGGACCAAUACUGACGCUCAGGUGCGAAAGCGUGGGGAGCAAACAGG